AGGCCGCCGCCACACCACUCGCCGCCGCGGCGGACCUCAACCGUCAUCGUUGCCGUUCUCAACCCACCCGCCGCCGUGGCUGUACCUCUCCCCGCUCACUGCCCCCGUUGCGGCGCUCGAGCGCAUCGCGUCGACCCUGGUCCACCCUGGCCUGUGCCCAGGCCGCUGCCACACCACUCGCCGCCGCGACCGACCUCAACCACCACUGUUGUCGAUCUCAACCCACCCGUCUCCGCGGUCGUACCUCUGCCCGCUUGCUGCCCCCGUUUCGGCGCUCGAGCACAGCUUCUGGAUCAAAUCAACGCGACAGCUACAACGACUUGGGAUGAUGCGUCUGCUCGAUGCAGAACGGCGGCGGCACGCGGAUAAGGCGCGGCGGAGCGAAGUACUUGCAGGUGGAGGCGGGCCUCCAUGGUUCACACGGGGAACUCCGAGGUUAUGACGCGGCAACGGCGACUCCUUAUGGCCAGAUAGAGGCGCCUAACCCUUGCUCCCCUCAUCGUAUCCCCUCCUCCACCAGGAACUCAUCAUCUGGUGAGAUCCCCUCCCCAUGCCUCCAACCGUGUGCCAAGCACCGGCAAGAAAUUUUGUUUUAUGGGAAUUUGUUUGCUGAUGAAUGAAUGUAUUGAAUGUAAGAUUGCAUUGUUGUAGAGAGAAAGAAUGGAACACCACAUUCAGUUUGUCAUCUAAUCUCAUAUUCUCUACCCCAUGAGUGAAAUAAAUAAACAGUCCAUUAAUCAAUUCACGUAGCCUCUUUGUUUUGCUUUGCUUGUCCCGCUCAAUUUCUCAUCAUGGUGAAAUUAACAAUGGACGGGUUGAUUUCUCAACAAAAUAGGAUAGGACUGACUACAAUAGUUA
Molecule: long non-coding RNA, 858 nt
Filed under: Hordeum vulgare
Lineage: Eukaryota; Viridiplantae; Streptophyta; Magnoliopsida; Poales; Poaceae
Description: long non-coding RNA (HVUL_LNC020705)
Source: RNAcentral